AUGAAAGCCAAAGCUGCCAGCAUCCUCCCCGGGUGCAGGCAUCUGUCCCGUCCACAGGGAAGGGGGUGUCCUCGCUUCGUAAUGGCUUCCUCCAUGGGAUUAGCCCAUACAGAACCCUGCUAUCAGCAGGAUGAGGUGGGGCCCACGCAGAUGGGAGAAUCAGCAAGGCUUCCGCCUGCCUUGCUGUCCUACUUGGUUCGGCUUAAAUCCCACACCAUCCCUCCAAAGUCAAGGGCAGCUCUACUGACACAGCACUAGAUGAUCCGUCGGAGCUAAGACCCAUUCCUCUGGUGCAUCUGUCAUUUCCUCACGAAACUACUUUGGUUCUCCCUUCUGAGUUGGGGAGAAAAAAACCAAAAAACCCAGUGCUACCUUUGGGUGCCCUUGGUCCCUGCGCACAGGUGGUUAGCAUUGUUUAUAAAGAGAACAGUCUGCUUUUCAGGCAUUCAAAGCUUCCAAUGGCAUUCAGACGUCGGUGCAGCGGACCCCAGAAGUGCCUAUGAAGUCUUAAGAAAAACACAUUUGGCUUUACGACUGGGGGAAAAUGGCCUCAGCCUGGGCAACUUUUAAGCCUGAUCACAAAUGGGCUCAUUUCGCGCGCGAUUCCAGGUUCCCUCAGACAGAAAGAAAUGAAAAUGAUCACAAAGCAUGCUAGAGGUUUGAAUGCACAGUGAAUUCAGGAAGGCUUGGUUGACAUUAUUGUUAGUAAAAAGAAAAAAAAAUCCAAGUCACAAUCCCUUAUUCUUUUAAAGGAGGUGAGUGAACAUUUUCCUUAAAGUUUAUUUCCAGUGGAUCACCCUAUAGGAGUCGCCCACGUUUAUAAUCACAUUGGAAAUUUCACACCGACAGCGCCGUGUGCUUGCUCUCGCUGAAAUAUUCAUGUCCUCUUUGCAUACUGGCCUGGGUGUGGAGGGGACCUUGUCAGACCUUUGCAUGUAGCAGGGCCGCUUUUGGCAGUGCAAAUAUUAAAACCGAAUGCAGACAGAGACGCCUACACAGGUCAGGGAAGACAAGGUCACAAUUAAAUUCUGUGCUAGGGCUCGCUCUGCCAGCAACUUCUGAAGUGGAUGGGAUCGGGGGAAGGCAAGGAAAUAUUUCUCGUAGCCAGUGGCCAAAGUUGUGAAAAGUGGGUAUUGGGCAGGUCCAGCAAAAAAUAUUCUUAGGUUUCCAAAAAAACAAAAAAAAGAAAGAAAUUAUGCAACAGAAAAACAAGGAAAGUGCUAAGUCAAUUUCCUGCACAACUGACAUUAAAUACCCAUCUUUGUAAAAAUAAAUACUCGGGCGAGUUUGGUGUCUUCA
Molecule: long non-coding RNA, 1299 nt
Filed under: Oryctolagus cuniculus (rabbit)
Lineage: Eukaryota; Metazoa; Chordata; Mammalia; Lagomorpha; Leporidae
Description: lncRNA (ENSOCUG00000031925.1)
Source: RNAcentral